This 582-nucleotide unclassified non-coding RNA is filed under the name Stachybotrys chartarum. Its description in RNAcentral is "sequence contains 18S rRNA gene, ITS1, 5.8S rRNA gene, ITS2, 28S rRNA gene". The stretch from base 204 to 357 matches the Rfam family "5.8S ribosomal RNA". The record is from RNAcentral. Lineage: Eukaryota; Fungi; Ascomycota; Sordariomycetes; Hypocreales; Stachybotryaceae.
UCGUAACAAGGUCUCCGUUGGUGAACCAGCGGAGGGAUCAUUACCGAGUUUACAACUCCCAAACCCUUAUGUGAACCGUACCUAUCGUUGCUUCGGCGGGAACGCCCCGGCGCCCUGCGCCCGGAUCCAGGCGCCCGCCGGAGACCCCAAACUCUUGUGUUUUUUUCAGUAUUCUCUGAGUGGCAAACGCAAAAAUAAAUCAAAACUUUUAACAACGGAUCUCUUGGCUCUGGCAUCGAUGAAGAACGCAGCGAAAUGCGAUAAGUAAUGUGAAUUGCAGAAUUCAGUGAAUCAUCGAAUCUUUGAACGCACAUUGCGCCCGUUAGCAUUCUAGCGGGCAUGCCUGUCCGAGCGUCAUUUCAACCCUCAGGGUCCCCGUUCCGGCGGGGAACCUGGUGUUGGGGAUCGGCCCGCCCCGCGCGGCGCCGUCCCCCAAAUUCAGUGGCGGUCUCGCUGCAGCCUCCCCUGCGUAGUAGUUACAACCUCGCAUCGGAGCUCAGCGCGGCCACGCCGUAAAACCCCCGACUUUCUGAACGUUGACCUCGGAUCAGGUAGGAAUACCCGCUGAACCUAAGCAUAUCA